RNAcentral lists this ribosomal RNA (301 nucleotides) under uncultured bacterium. RNAcentral's name for it is "partial 16S ribosomal RNA". It matches the Rfam family "Bacterial small subunit ribosomal RNA", at positions 509 to 807 of the family's 1533-position model. The record is from RNAcentral.
CAGUCGCCGCGGUAAUACGAGGGGGGCAAGCGUUGUUCGGAUUUAUUGGGCGUAAAGGGUGCGUAGGCGGUUUGGCAAGUCCUGUGUGAAAUCUAUGGGCUCAACCCAUAGCCUGCACGAGAAACUACCGGGCUUGAGUAUUGGAGAGGUGAGUGGAAUUUCCGGUGUAGCGGUGAAAUGCGUAGAUAUCGGAAGGAACACCUGUGGCGAAAGCGGCUCACUGGACAAUAACUGACGCUGAUGCACGAAAGCUAGGGGAGCAAACAGGAUUAGAUACCCCAGUAGUCCCUGUCUCUUAUAC